This 497-nucleotide ribosomal RNA is filed under the name uncultured bacterium. RNAcentral describes it as "partial 16S ribosomal RNA". It matches the Rfam family "Bacterial small subunit ribosomal RNA", at positions 28 to 507 of the family's 1533-position model. The record is from RNAcentral.
GACGAACGCUGGCGGCGUGCCUAAUACAUGCAAGUUGAGCGAUGAAGAUUGGUGCUUGCACCAAUUUGAAGAGCAGCGAACGGGUGAGUAACGCGUGGGGAAUCUGCCUUUGAGCGGGGGACAACAUUUGGAAACGAAUGCUAAUACCGCAUAACGACUUUAAACAUAAGUUUUAAGUUUGAAAGAUGCAAUUGCAUCACUCAAAGAUGAUCCCGCGUUGUAUUAGCUAGUUGGUGAGGUAAAGGCUCACCAAGGCGAUGAUACAUAGCCGACCUGAGAGGGUGAUCGGCCACAUUGGGACUGAGACACGGCCCAAACUCCUACGGGAGGCAGCAGUAGGGAAUCUUCGGCAAUGGACGAAAGUCUGACCGAGCAACGCCGCGUGAGUGAAGAAGGGUUUCGGAUCGUAAAACUCUGUUGGUAGAGAAGAACGUUGGUGAGAGUGGAAAGCUCAUCAAGUGACGGUAACUACCCAGAAAGGGACGGCUAACUACGUG